Molecule: ribosomal RNA, 47 nt
Filed under: Macrorhynchia phoenicea
Lineage: Eukaryota; Metazoa; Cnidaria; Hydrozoa; Leptothecata; Aglaopheniidae
Description: partial 28S ribosomal RNA
Source: RNAcentral
GACCUCAUAUCACGUCAGACUACGCGCUGAAUUUAAGCAUAUUAAUA